RNAcentral lists this long non-coding RNA (712 nucleotides) under Lathyrus oleraceus (garden pea). Its description in RNAcentral is "Pisum sativum (pea) long non-coding RNA (PSAT_LNC014779)". Lineage: Eukaryota; Viridiplantae; Streptophyta; Magnoliopsida; Fabales; Fabaceae. The record is from RNAcentral.
UAAUUAAAUUGUUUUCAUUUUCUUAUAAAACAAAUGUUGGGAAACCUAAACAUAUGUUCUUCUUCUUUCCCAUUUGAAGUGCAACUCAGAAAAUUGAUUUCUUCUUCUCUAAUUUUAGAAAACUCUAAAAAAAAAUUCUCAUCAUCACGACCGCUCGCUCAUCACCAUAUCCUAGUAUUCCACAUCAAGCAAUUGUUAUGUUUCUCGUUCUAAUCAGGACAAAUGCAAGCGUGGUCUUCCUUUUCCAUUGAUGACUACUUUGACAUAUUUGAACACAGGUCGUUGUUUUUUUGUUGUGGGGUGUAUGAGGUAUUACUUCGAUUUGUUAUAUUCAUGAACUAUUGUAUUUUGUGAUUUUUAGAAAAUCCUUCGGUGUUCUUCUCUAAUUCUAGAUUCAGGGAUAUAAGAGGUGUAGUCACUUCGUCUGGUAUGAUGAAGGAAUGUAUGAAAGAGUCAAGGAAUUGAAUGUCAAAUUGAACCAAGAAAAUGUCAAAUUGAAUGUCAAAUUAAACCAAGAAAAUGUCAAAUUGAAUGAUGUCAUAAUUAAAGAGGAUGAAUUGAAGUUGAAAAUCAAAUACUUUUAGAUAACGAACAAGUUUACAAUGGGAAUGAUAUUUGUGUUGUUAAUUGGAUUAGUUGUAUCAAAUAUAAUAAAUUAGUUGAUUAGGUAAAGUAGAUUAGGUUGAUUCAGUUAAGUUGUCAUCAAAGUGUG